This 2722-nucleotide long non-coding RNA is filed under the name Solanum tuberosum (potato). Its description in RNAcentral is "long non-coding RNA (STUB_LNC005867)". The record is from RNAcentral. Lineage: Eukaryota; Viridiplantae; Streptophyta; Magnoliopsida; Solanales; Solanaceae.
GCCCACCUGCAUAUUUAUACCAAAACAACCCAAAGAGCUGCCAACACAAUAUUUACAUAUACAUUAAACUACUUCAAAAUAAACUUCAUCCAACUUCAAAAUAAAAUUCAAUCAACUUCAAAAUAAACUAAAAUACGAUCAAACAAUUCCAAAAAUAUAGAAGUCUAAAAUGUAAAAUAGGUAUAACUACUCCUCAUCACCCUCACUCUUCUUAUUAGACUUAUCAUUGUCAUCACCCUUCUGAUCAGAUCCAUCAUUGUUGGCAGCCGAACAUGGAGGAAGAUUUUUUCCUGAUUCAAAAAGAAGAGUUAGUUGGGCCUGAGAAAUAUUGUUGUCAGAUUUGAUACUUAAGCAAUCCAACUGCAACACAAUUUAGAGUGUUGACCCUCCUUGAACAAAGGACGACUACAAUCACACAAUUGUUUAUAAAAGAUGUUUGCAUCAUUGGGAGCUUCUUCUACAUUUUCCCCAAAUUCAAAAUCAGAAUGCAUCCCAAAAGAAUCAUCAAUCAUAUCUGACGUUCUAGAACCUUGGACAUAAUUAUGCUCUAUAGAUCUAUUACUUUCACCGACAACAAAGUUAUUAAACACAGUGUCUCUUUCAAUUAAACUUUAUUUGAACCAAUUACACCAACUAAACCACAUUAUUUAUUUGAACUUGUUUAAACAACUGAACAACUUACUUAAUUCCAACAACUAAAUUCACCAACUAAACCACAUUAUUUAUUUGAACUUAUUUAAAUAACUUAACAACUUUUUAACUCUAACUAGUUUUGACUUAAUUCAACCAACUAAAUCCACCAACUAAAUCACAUUAUUUGAACUUAUUUAAACAACUUAACAACUUUUUAACUCUAACUAGUUUUGACUUAAUUCCAACAAUAAAUCCACCAACUAAACCACAUUAUUUAUUUGAACUUAUUUAAACAACUAAACAAUUUUUUUAACUCAAACUAGUUUUGACUUAAUUCCAACAAUAAAUCCACCAACUAAACCACAUUAUUUAUUUGAACUUAUUUAAAGAACUAAACAAUAUUAACUGUAACUAAUUUUGAAUUAAUUCCAACAACUAAACCCGCCUACUAAACCACAUUAUUUAUUAGAACUUAUUUAAACAACUUUAACUCUAAGAUUCAAACAACCAACUCAUAGUUAAUGACUUCAUGGGGUGUUCUACUAGAGGAUCAAAUCAACUUGCUAGAAAUACUAAUUACAUUAAUGUAUAUCAAACUAUCAUAUCUUACUUUAAUUAAAUGUCACUAUUAUUAUCAAAUGGUAAUAUGGAGAUUAAGUGACUUAUUCUCACACAUUUAUUCAGUUCUAUUGAGUUUAAAUGAUUCAUUUGUGUACAGUUUUGCCCAUAUUAUUAAUGGAAAACAAUUGAACCAAAGCUGUUAGGUAAAGAGGCUUAGAUUUUUAUUUUUUGAGAUUUUACAUAUUCAGUUUGGUGUUAAGGGAAUUUUCGGGUAAUUAUUGAGUCUUCGGUUACGGUAAAGCUUUUCAGUGAAGCUGAUAUGCUUCCAUAGCAAACUCAAAACUGCUAAUUUGUGGUGGCCCUCAUUUUGUGAGUAAUGUUUACAAUUGUGUUGACAUGAAUUGAAUGCCUUCUACUCCUUCACACUUUUAUACAACACAGAGGCAAUAAUCUAACAAAGUAAAUCUAGGGUAAAUUCUUGUUGGUUUGGUAGCUUUAAUCCCAAAUGCUGCUAAAGCAAUAGUGGAUUUUGACAAAGCCUUAAGCAUGUUUAAAUAAAUUUAUAAACUAAAAUAAAUUUAGUGCAUAAUCCCUAGAUAAAUGUAGUGAUUAGUUACUGAUACCAUUUUUUAGAUGACGAACUGGUAGUUGAGGAAUUCAUAAAAGUGAUAGUGUGGUAGAUGAUAGUGUGAUAGGUGGGUAUUUUAUUUUAAAAUUUUUAUUAUAAUAUUCUUUGCUAAGUGUCUUAAUUUUGAUUUUUUCUAUUAAGAUUUGAUACUCUGUAUCUUGUAUUUUAAUUAAUUCUAGCUGUAUAUAUUUACAUAAUUAAUUUUUUUACAAGUUUAAACUAUUGAAAUUGAUUUUUGGCAUUUCCUUUUUAAGGUAAUCAUUAUGAUUUUGAAAUCUGAUCUUAAAUUUUUUUAAUCAAACUUUUAACUAUAUGCUAUCUCACAGCAUUAAGCCAAUAUCUUUUUCUCAUACCAUAAACAUUACUUACAAAGUUAAGCACAUAAUAGACAAAUUCUUUAUACAAAGCUAUUUCCACGAUUGAAUGCAUUAUUUUACUAAUACAAUAUUCUGAUAAUUUUAACAACGUUUCAAAAAUAACCUUUUUUGCUGGUGGCUGGUGCUAUCCUCGCCGAAGAAGAGGAGAGAGGGGCGAGGGGCUUCACCCGGUGAUUUCUCCUUGGCCGGCUGUUCUCACCGGUGUUGGAGCGCUCUGGCGGCUGCUGUCUCUUGCGCUGCUACUUGCUGUGUUGUUGUUAUCUCCGCCGGUCGGAGCGAAAUAGAGAAGGGAAGAGAGGGAGAGGGAGAGGAGGAGCAGCAACCCCACUGAUGCUUGCCGGCGGAGAGAGGAGAGGAGGGGAGGUGAGGGGAGCGAGAAGCGAAGGGAGCAGAGGAGGCGGCGAUGCUUCCACUGGUUUCGCCAGAGCCAAGCGGCGAUGAGACAGAGGAGAGAAAGGAGAUAGAGACGACACUUUCUGGAGAAAGAAGAAUGAAGAGAAACGUUAGGGUUAGGGAUCUUAAG